This 540-nucleotide ribosomal RNA is filed under the name bacterium Oil-M2-6. Its description in RNAcentral is "bacterial SSU rRNA". It matches the Rfam family "Bacterial small subunit ribosomal RNA", at positions 359 to 889 of the family's 1533-position model. The record is from RNAcentral.
GAAUUUUGCGCAAUGGGCGAAAGCCUGACGCAGCAACGCCGCGUGAGUGAUGAAGGAUUUCGGUUCGUAAAGCUCUGUCAAGUGGGAAGAAGUUGUGCAUGUUGAACAGGCAUGUGCAUUGACGGUACCACUGAAGGAAGCACCGGCUAACUCCGUGCCAGCAGCCGCGGUAAUACGGAGGGUGCAAGCGUUAUUCGGAUUUACUGGGCGUAAAGGGCGCGUAGGCGGCCGGAUAAGUCAGAUGUGAAAGCCCGGGGCUCAACCCCGGAAGUGCAUUUGAAACUGUCUGGCUUGAGUAUGGUAGAGGGAAGUGGAAUUCCAGGUGUAGCGGUGAAAUGCGUAGAUAUCUGGAGGAACACCGGUGGCGAAGGCGACUUCCUGGACCAAAACUGACGCUGAGGCGCGAAGGUGUGGGUAGCAAACAGGAUUAGAUACCCUGGUAGUCCACACAGUAAACGGUGAUCACUAGGUGUUGCGGGUAUUGACCCCUGCAGUGCCGCAGCUAACGCAUUAAGUGAUCCGCCUGGGGAGUACGGUCGC